RNAcentral lists this transfer RNA (62 nucleotides) under Teredorus hainanensis. RNAcentral describes it as "tRNA-Gly". Lineage: Eukaryota; Metazoa; Arthropoda; Insecta; Orthoptera; Tetrigidae. The record is from RNAcentral.
ACUUGCCUAGUAUAUAAGUACAUUUGACUUCCAAUCAAAAAGUUUGAAUUUCAAGGAAAGUA